Long non-coding RNA from Magallana angulata, 551 nucleotides. RefSeq lists it as uncharacterized. The record is from RefSeq and is a predicted model, not a curated record. The transcript has 3 exons. Lineage: Eukaryota; Metazoa; Mollusca; Bivalvia; Ostreida; Ostreidae.
UGAUGGGAAGUCAACUAAUGAAAACCCAUACCCCACAUUGUUUCCUACAACAACUUCAAAGAACCCAUCAAAUCUAGAAGCACGGGGUCGAUCGACAAACGAAACAGUGGGAAUUCCGAAAAACCAUCUAAUAUUACUUGUGCCUUCACAUCGCAGUCGGAUAGUUAUGAACUUCAUGCAAGUUCAAGUGAAAUGGAUAUUGACUUCCAGACUCCACCUGUAGUCAGUGAAGAAGUCGUUGUAACUGCCUCCGACUCUGUGUCAGAAAGUGCAGGAAUGCAACAUUCUGGUAUGCCUGAUCAUGAUUAUUUAGCAACUUCUGCACAAAUUACAAGGGAAACAGCUGACAUUGGAGUUCAGACAGAUCUUGGCAUGUAGGAAAUGACAGAGCUCCUAGGACUGAAGACCAAGUCCCAGAACCCUGAUGCUGUUAUGAGGGAGUUAUUUGUCCAGAAAGUGACUUCCAGUGACAGGAAUGUUCAACAAUAUACUGGUGUCUUAAAUUUUUAAGACAUAUCGAGUGUAAACUGUCACAUUUUUGUCCAAACUGU